UACGGGGGAUGCAAGCGUUAUCCGGAAUUAUUGGGCGUAAAGCGCCUGUAGGUUGUUUAGUAAGUCUGUUGUUAAAGACCAGGGCUUAACCCUGGAUAAGCAAUGGAUACUGCUAGACUAGAGUAUGGCAGGGGUAGAGGGAAUUUCUAGUGUAGCGGUGAAAUGCGUAGAUAUUAGAAAGAACACCAGUGGCGAAAGCGCUCUACUGGACCAUUACUGACACUCAGAGGCGAAAGCUAGGGUAGCAAAAGGGAUUAGAUACCCCUGUAGUCCUAGCCGUAAACGAUGGAUACUAGAUGUUGUAAUUAUCUUACAGUGUCGUAGCUAACGCGUUAAGUAUCCCGCCUGGGGAGUACGCUCGCAAGGGUG
RNAcentral lists this ribosomal RNA (369 nucleotides) under uncultured phototrophic eukaryote. RNAcentral's name for it is "SSU rRNA". It matches the Rfam family "Bacterial small subunit ribosomal RNA", at positions 524 to 896 of the family's 1533-position model. The record is from RNAcentral.